UGGUUUGAUUCUGGCUCAGAGUGAACGCUGGCGGCGUGCCUAAUACAUGCAAGUCGAACGAUGAAGCUCUAGCUUGCUAGAGUGGAUUAGUGGCGCACGGGUGAGUAAUGCAUAGAUAACAUGCCCUUUAGUCUAGGAUAGCCAUUGGAAACGAUGAUUAAUACUGGAUACUCCUUACGAGGGAAAGUUUUUCGCUAAAGGAUUGGUCUAUGUCCUAUCAGCUUGUUGGUGAGGUAAUGGCUCACCAAGGCUAUGACGGGUAUCCGGCCUGAGAGGGUGAACGGACACACUGGAACUGAGACACGGUCCAGACUCCUACGGGAGGCAGCAGUAGGGAAUAUUGCUCAAUGGGGGAAACCCUGAAGCAGCAACGCCGCGUGGAGGAUGAAGGUUUUCGGAUUGUAAACUCCUUUUGUUAGAGAAGAUAAUGACGGUAUCUAACGAAUAAGCACCGGCUAACUCCGUGCCAGCAGCCGCGGUAAUACGGAGGGUGCAAGCGUUACUCGGAAUCACUGGGCGUAAAGAGCGCGUAGGCGGGAUAGCAAGUCAGAUGUGAAAUCCUAUGGCUUAACCAUAGAACUGCAUUUGAAACUGUUAUUCUAGAGUAUGGGAGAGGUAGGUGGAAUUCUUGGUGUAGGGGUAAAAUCCGUAGAGAUCAAGAGGAAUACUCAUUGCGAAGGCGACCUGCUAGAACAUAACUGACGCUGAUGCGCGAAAGCGUGGGGAGCAAACAGGAUUAGAUACCCUGGUAGUCCACGCCCUAAACGAUGAAUGCUAGUUGUUGUGGAGCUUGUCUCUGCAGUAAUGCAGCUAACGCAUUAAGCAUUCCGCCUGGGGAGUACGGUCGCAAGAUUAAAACUCAAAGGAAUAGACGGGGACCCGCACAAGCGGUGGAGCAUGUGGUUUAAUUCGAAGAUACACGAAGAACCUUACCUAGGCUUGACAUUGAUAGAAUCCGCUAGAGAUAGUGGAGUGCUAGCUUGCUAGAACUUGAAAACAGGUGCUGCACGGCUGUCGUCAGCUCGUGUCGUGAGAUGUUGGGUUAAGUCCCGCAACGAGCGCAACCCUCGUCCUUAGUUGCUAACUAUUCGGUAGAGCACUCUAAGGAGACUGCCUUCGCAAGGAGGAGGAAGGUGAGGAUGACGUCAAGUCAUCAUGGCCCUUACGCCUAGGGCUACACACGUGCUACAAUGGGAAGCACAAAGAGAUGCAAUAUUGUGAAAUGGAGCAAAUCUAUAAAACUUCUCUCAGUUCGGAUUGUAGUCUGCAACUCGACUACAUGAAGCUGGAAUCGCUAGUAAUCGUAAAUCAGCUAUGUUACGGUGAAUACGUUCCCGGGUCUUGUACUCACCGCCCGUCACACCAUGGGAGUUGUAUUCGCCUUAAGUCGGAAUGCCAAACUGGCUACCGCCCACGGCGGAUGCAGCGACUGGGGUGAAGUCGUAACAAGGUAACC
RNAcentral lists this ribosomal RNA (1456 nucleotides) under uncultured bacterium. Its description in RNAcentral is "partial 16S ribosomal RNA". It matches the Rfam family "Bacterial small subunit ribosomal RNA". The record is from RNAcentral.